This 587-nucleotide ribosomal RNA is filed under the name uncultured bacterium. Its description in RNAcentral is "partial 16S ribosomal RNA". It matches the Rfam family "Bacterial small subunit ribosomal RNA", at positions 355 to 1376 of the family's 1533-position model. The record is from RNAcentral.
UGGGGAAUUUUGGACAAUGGGCGCAAGCCUGAUCCAGCCAUGCCGCGUGCGGGAAGAAGGCCUUCGGGUUGUAAACCGCUUUUGUCAGGGAAGAAAUCUUCUGAGUUAAUACCUCGGGAGGAUGACGGUACCUGAAGAAUAAGCACCGGCUAACUACGUGCCAGCAGCCGCGGUAAUACGUAGGGUGCAAGCGUUAAUCGGAAUUACUGGGCGUAAAGCGUGCGCAGGCGGUUUUGUAAGACAGAGGUGGAAUCCCCGGGCUCAACCUGGGAACUGCCUUUGUGACUGCAAGGCUUGAGUGCGGCAGAGGGGGGAUGGAAUUCCGCGUGUAGCAGUGAAAUGCGUAGAUAUGCGGAGGAACACCGAUGGCGAAGGCAAUCCCCUGGGCCUGCACUGACGCUCAUGCACGAAAGCGUGGGGAGCAAACAGGAUUAGAUACCCUGGUAGUCCACGCCCUAAACGAUGUCAACUGGUUGUUGGGAAGGUUCCUUCUCAGUAACGUAGCUAACGCGUGAAGUUGACCGCCUGGGGAGUACGGCCGCAAGGUUGAAACUCAAAUGAAUUGACGGGGUCAUAGCUGUUUCCUG